UUGUUAAUAAAUAUCCAAAAUUGAUCAUUCACAUAUACAAAUUGUAAGACAUUGAGGCCCCCGAAAGACCUAUCAAAGACUAUUAAUUAAACCUCCCAUGCUCUUGCAAUAAUGCACAAGUUAAGUUAGUAGCGGUGGAGCACAAUUUGCGCUCUCCUUAUAUUUAUUUUUCUGCCAACUAGCUAAAAAAGCUUGACCAGAGGUCAAGAUAGAACCUAGCAACAAGCAGGGCUGCGAUGAAUGAGUCUUUAUUAUUUCCCUUCGGAGUCGUUUGGCACAGCGGACUGUCAUGGACUGGAUUAAAUCCUGGGACUGUCUCGGAUUAGCUCGGAUUGGCCUAAGCUGGAUUAAGUACUGACCUACGUUUAGUGCUGCGUCGGACUAAGAAGCUGGAUUGUAAAAAUAGUGAAGACCUAUGUUUGGUGCUGUGUCGUCGGAUUAAAAAAUAAUUAUUGUAAUAUUUAAAUUUAAAACAAUAAUUUUACAUAAAAAAGACAACAAAAAUUCUGAAUUUUUUUAAAAUCUAAAAUUAUCUUAAACAAAAAAACUCAUUAGAUGCAGACCCAACUCAACCUCCCCAUUCUUUUUACUUUCUUUUUAUAUUUUUUUUUCCUCUCUAUUUUUUGUUUUGUUUAAAAUAAUUAGGUUCAUUGCAUUGGAAGACAGAUAGAAAAAACAAAGGUUUUGCUUCUUAUGGAUCAAAUCAUCAAUGCCUGCUGCGAUUCCCCUACCCCACUGAAGCCAUCUUCUCUUGCUCCCUAGGAUUAAUAGAUUCAUUCUUGCCUCUCUCUCUCUCCCCCAUCAUAACCCACUUCCAGAUCCCCUUUUUCCCCAGUUCUCAUUCUCCCCUUUUGACUCUCUUUUUUUUUUUUUAAUUCAAUCAAGAAAGCUUCAAACAUUGGCUUUAGCAAAUGUGUUCUCCCAAGCAUGCCGCACAUCCUCUUCGAUCUUGGCAAGCCAGUGAUCUGGGUUUGUUUGGUUGCAGAAAUUAGAUAACCUCAUGAGGAAUCAUAGCAGAUAGAAAGGGCUCUAUGGGUCAACUGAUUGGGUGUUCAAUUGGGUGUUGUUGUUGCUGUCGAUAGGGUUGGUGGUGGUGAUAGUGAGGUUGGGCGAUGAUAGUGCGAAGGUUUAGUUCUGCGAUGGUUUAGUUCGAACUCCCGAGUUCAAUAUAGCGUGGGUGUUAUAUUGCGAGCUGCUUUUCAAGCUCGCUAAAUUGGAGCAACGAGUGAGGGAGAUUUUUCACUGUUGGACUAUAUAAUCUCAUUUAAGUUAGUCCCUUAUCUUAACAAACAUGGGUUUCAAGUACUAUUUAAGAUAGUCCAAUCUAGUGAAGCCUACCAAACACACCCUUCAAGUACUAAGGUUGGUUUCAACAUUUAUCACACAAAAAGACAAAUGAAAUGAACGGCUGAGAUUGCUUCCGUAUGAACCCAACCAGUGAUGAUUUUCUAUCUGAUGAACCACCAGCCACAAGUUAC
This 1478-nucleotide long non-coding RNA is filed under the name Prunus persica (peach). Its description in RNAcentral is "long non-coding RNA (PPER_LNC003841)". The record is from RNAcentral. Lineage: Eukaryota; Viridiplantae; Streptophyta; Magnoliopsida; Rosales; Rosaceae.